Molecule: ribosomal RNA, 393 nt
Filed under: Escherichia coli
Lineage: Bacteria; Pseudomonadati; Pseudomonadota; Gammaproteobacteria; Enterobacterales; Enterobacteriaceae
Description: partial 23S ribosomal RNA
Rfam family: Bacterial large subunit ribosomal RNA
Source: RNAcentral
GGGUAGUUUGACUGGGGCGGUCUCCUCCUAAAGAGUAACGGAGGAGCACGAAGGUUGGCUAAUCCUGGUCGGACAUCAGGAGGUUAGUGCAAUGGCAUAAGCCAGCUUGACUGCGAGCGUGACGGCGCGAGCAGGUGCGAAAGCAGGUCAUAGUGAUCCGGUGGUUCUGAAUGGAAGGGCCAUCGCUCAACGGAUAAAAGGUACUCCGGGGAUAACAGGCUGAUACCGCCCAAGAGUUCAUAUCGACGGCGGUGUUUGGCACCUCGAUGUCGGCUCAUCACAUCCUGGGGCUGAAGUAGGUCCCAAGGGUAUGGCUGUUCGCCAUUUAAAGUGGUACGCGAGCUGGGUUUAGAACGUCGUGAGACAGUUCGGUCCCUAUCUGCCGUGGGCGCU